GUUUAGCCAAUCCCAUAAAUCUGUUCUCAGUUCGGAUCGCAGUCUGCAACUCGACUGCGUGAAGCUGGAAUCGCUAGUAAUCGCGGAUCAGCAUGCCGCGGUGAAUACGUUCCCGGGCCUUGUACACACCGCCCGUCACACCACGAGAGUUUGCAACACCCGAAGUCGGUGAGGUAACCUUUAUGGAGCCAGCCGCCGAAGGUGGGGCAGAUGAUUGGGGUGAAGUCGUAACAAGGUAGCCGUAUCGGAAGGUGCGGUUGGAUCACCUCA
This 270-nucleotide ribosomal RNA is filed under the name Bacillus pumilus. Its description in RNAcentral is "partial 16S ribosomal RNA". It matches the Rfam family "Bacterial small subunit ribosomal RNA", at positions 1262 to 1533 of the family's 1533-position model. The record is from RNAcentral. Lineage: Bacteria; Bacillati; Bacillota; Bacilli; Caryophanales; Bacillaceae.